GUAAAUAUAAUUUAACUAAAAUAUUAGAUUGUGAAUCUAAACAUAGAAGUUUAUCUCUUCUUAUUUACC
This 69-nucleotide transfer RNA is filed under the name Trachypithecus pileatus. Its description in RNAcentral is "tRNA-His". It matches the Rfam family "tRNA". Rfam says of the family: Transfer RNA (tRNA) molecules are approximately 80 nucleotides in length. Their secondary structure includes four short double-helical elements and three loops (D, anti-codon, and T loops). Further hydrogen bonds mediate the characteristic L-shaped molecular structure. tRNAs have two regions of fundamental functional importance: the anti-codon, which is responsible for specific mRNA codon recognition, and the 3' end, to which the tRNAs corresponding amino acid is attached (by aminoacyl-tRNA synthetases). tRNAs cope with the degeneracy of the genetic code in two manners: having more than one tRNA (with a specific anti-codon) for a particular amino acid; and 'wobble' base-pairing, i.e. permitting non-standard base-pairing at the 3rd anti-codon position. Lineage: Eukaryota; Metazoa; Chordata; Mammalia; Primates; Cercopithecidae. RNAcentral also lists the same sequence under 1 other name. The record is from RNAcentral.